This 45-nucleotide non-coding RNA is filed under the name Schistosoma mansoni. The record is from RNAcentral. Lineage: Eukaryota; Metazoa; Platyhelminthes; Trematoda; Strigeidida; Schistosomatidae.
AUCCAUCUGACGAGUCCCAAAUAGGACGAAAGGCGCAUCCUGGAU